GCAGUUUGGGUGGGAUGUGCCAGGAACAGACGCACACACACACACACACAUGGCAUGUCUGAGAGGAAGCCCCCUGGUACCUGCACGCCCACCCUCUCAGCCCAACUCCCCUUCUCUUCCUCUGCAGCUCCACUCAGAACAGCAGCACCAGCUUCCCAAACAGAUCUCACCCCAGAGCAUCUGACUGGCAGCAGAAGCAUCUCAUUACCUGUCGUCAUCUGCAUCAUCCUGGGGGGCCUUCUCUGCCUGCUCCUGGCCCUCCUGGUUGGGCAAAUACAAAGCGCCAGGGCUUGGCGCAAAGCCCUGCCUCUCUCUGUGGGCUCUGGGACAUCUUGGGAGCCCUUCCCUGCAGCUGUGUAUGAGGAAAUCAAUUACAGACUGGCGUGGGAGAAAGAGGCAAAAUUCAGGGGCUCAGGCUCCUAUUCAGAGGGGUUCCCGAUCAAGCUGCAGCCCUACCCCCAGGACAGCAAGGAGGAGGAUGGUCUGGGGCCAGCACCAGAUGUCCUUGACCCGCCUGGAGGUUACCAAGCAGAUGGCUAUGAUGAUGUUAGGGAGGCUUCUGGCCCUGGGGAGGAUCCUGUGUCCAGGCAGGGAGACUGGGAAAUGCCCGUGGCACCAGAGGAGGGAGCAGGGCCCAUGGAUGCACCUGGAGGGGCAAACCUGCCCUCCCAGAGAAGUGCUGGGGCCCCUGGAACUGUGGAAGGUGCCUGGUCCCUGUCCCUGGAGAGUGCAGGCUAUGACGAUGCUGAAGAAGUGUCUCUGGCACAUCCUCCUGAGGACACAGAGGCUGUGGCACCAGGGAGGGAUGCGAGAAAGCAGGCGCUGCUAAAUCUGAGCCAGGGUCCCUCUCCCUCAGCCGGGGCUGUCGCCUGCCCCAGCUCCCAUGGGCAGAGAAACCUUUCACACAGGGCAGGGAGACGGAUUUGACACCUUGGUAAGAAUGUGCAGCCCCGACUGCCCUCCCUGCUCCUGCUGGUGCAUCUCCACAAGCCUCAGGCCCUGACGGGCUCUUCUGCUGAAGGCUGGAAGGUAUGCUGGGCAUUCAUGGCAACGCUCCCUGAGGGAGCAGCGACAACAGGGUAGCACUACAAACAGCAGGACCCGGCCUUAGAGCACAAGAGGGUAGGAGGCCCCAUGGUGUCAGCUACUGCAGUGGGCGGCAUCUCUUUC
RNAcentral lists this long non-coding RNA (1170 nucleotides) under Falco tinnunculus (common kestrel). RNAcentral describes it as "lncRNA (ENSFTIG00000009267.1)". Lineage: Eukaryota; Metazoa; Chordata; Aves; Falconiformes; Falconidae. The record is from RNAcentral.